AUCGGUACGUGCCCAGUCGUGGGGGAUAACGUAGCGAAAGCUACGCUAAUACCGCAUACGUAUCUACGGAUGAAAGCGGGGGAUCGCAAGUACUCGCGCGAUUGGAGCGGCGAUGGCAGAUUAGGUAGUUGGUGAGGUAAAGGCUCACCAAGCCGACGAUCUGUAGCUGGUCUGAGAGGACGACCAGCCACACUGGGACUGAGUACACGGCCAGUACUCCUACGGGAGGCAGCAGUGGGGAAUUUUGGACAAUGGGCGCAAGCCUGAUCCAGCCAUUCCGCGUGCAGGAUGAAGGCCCUCGGGUUGUAAACUGCUUUUGUACGGAACGAAACGGUUCUCUCUAAUACAGGGGGCUAAUGACGGUACCGUAAGAAUAAGCACCGGCUAACUACGUGCCAGCAGCCGCGGUAAUACGUAGGGUGCAAGCGUUAAAUCGGAAUUACUGGGCGUAAAGCGUGCGCAGGCGGUUAUGUAAGACAGUCUGUGAAAUCCCCGGGCUCAACCUGGGAACUGCAUCUGUGGACUGCUUAAGCUAGAGUACGGCCAGACGGGGGGAUGGAAUUCCCGCGUGUAGCCAGCGAAACUUGCGUCAGAUAUGGC
This 600-nucleotide ribosomal RNA is filed under the name uncultured bacterium. RNAcentral describes it as "bacterial SSU rRNA". It matches the Rfam family "Bacterial small subunit ribosomal RNA", at positions 117 to 700 of the family's 1533-position model. The record is from RNAcentral.